Molecule: ribosomal RNA, 606 nt
Filed under: uncultured bacterium
Lineage: Bacteria
Description: bacterial SSU rRNA
Rfam family: Bacterial small subunit ribosomal RNA (bases 1-533)
Source: RNAcentral
CCUACGGGAGGCAGCAGUAAGGAAUAUUGGUCAAUGGACGCAAGUCUGAACCAGCCAUGCCGCGUGAAGGAUUAAGGCCCUCUGGGUUGUAAACUUCUUUUAUAGGGGACGAAAAAAGGGCAUUCUUGCUCACUUGACGGUACCCUAGGAAUAAGCACCGGCUAACUCCGUGCCAGCAGCCGCGGUAAUACGGAGGGUGCAAGCGUUAUCCGGAUUUACUGGGUUUAAAGGGUGCGUAGGUGGGUUGGUAAGUCAGUGGUGAAAUCUUCGAGCUUAACUCGGAAACUGCCAUUGAUACUAUCAAUCUUGAAUCAUCUAGAGGUAAGCGGAAUAUGUCAUGUAGCGGUGAAAUGCUUAGAUAUGACAUAGAACACCAAUUGCGAAGGCAGCUUACUAUGGAUGCAUUGACACUGAGGCACGAAAGCGUGGGGAUCAAACAGGAUUAGAUACCCUGGUAGUCCACGCCCUAAACGAUGGAUACUCGACAUUUGUGAUAUACAAUAAGUGUNUGAGNGAAGANAUAAGUAUCCACCNGGAGUACGACCGACGAGUAGAACGACAANAGAGUAGAGNGUGAGAGAGCGACGGACGACACGAGGGAGGAGG